This 2674-nucleotide long non-coding RNA is filed under the name Sus scrofa (pig). RNAcentral describes it as "lncRNA (ENSSSCG00060065634.1)". The record is from RNAcentral. Lineage: Eukaryota; Metazoa; Chordata; Mammalia; Artiodactyla; Suidae.
CAAGAUCAUACAUAGCUCAGUUCACUUUUUUUAGCAUCAAAGAAUAAAUAUUAGGUUCUUAUCCAUGAAGAGCAGGGUAGACUCUGACCUCUAGAAAUCAGGGCACUAUUCUAGUAUAAUUCUCUAGUCUUCACUAAAAUGAAAACUUUGAUUGCUGCAUUCUCUUUCUUUCUCUCUUUGUACACACGCAUAUUUUACUUGAACAAUUCUUAAAUUUAUUCUUAAGAAUUUAUGUAUCUCGAAUAGGAUGCCACUAUUCGAUUUUUUUCCUUAAAACUUUUCUAUUUGUGAGUAUGAAAUAUUUCCUGGUCUUCUUCCAAAUGUUUAUUCAAUAUUCAAUAAAAUUGUCAUUACUAGCAAAAAUUUUGGAAAGGUGGUCCUUCUCUGAUAAUGAUUAGAUUGACAGUUGGUGUUCUUCGGUUUCACAUUGUAAAAAACAAUUCUAGUUAGUUUAGGCAAAAUAGGAAGUUUAUAGCAUACAGCGUGGCUCCCAAAAGUGAAAGAAAAGUUGAAGGAUUGAUCUAGGCAAGAGCAAGAACCAGGGCAGCUGAAGGAGAUGAGGGUCACUGUUGCAGGGAGCAACCUCCUGAAUAAAUCAGCAUCAUUAGGGACUGCUCUUUGGUCAUUCAGCUCAAGAUGCCUGUUCCAGCAAAGGCCUAAUGGCCUCCUUUGGGGCACAGGUCUACUUGCUGCCAGAAAAAGACAUGGCACCUUGAUUUCCCCUCUUACCAGACUGUGCACAGUGAGGAUUACGUAAUUUCCUCAGGACAAAAUAGGGGCACCUUACUCAAAGAAGGGGGAAAUGAAUACUGAGAGGCAAAAAUAAAUAAAUAGAAUUAGCCCAAUACAGUAAGUAUGGUAUAUAAUUCUUUUCAUAUUUUCUAAUAAAGGAGUCGACAUUUGUUAUUCUUAACAUUCAAUUUCAAUUUUGACAGCCAUUGUUUUCACCAAAAAUAAAAACAGUGAUCUUUUAGAUGUACUUAAUUUUUUUUGUUGUUAAACUGGAUUUUUAUUUUAUUUUUUUAAUUUAUUAUUAUUUUUUUAAAAUUUUCCCACUAUACAGCAAGGGGAUCAAGUUAUCCUUAUAUGUAUACAUUACAUUUUUUCUUUCCCCACCCUUUGUUGUGUUGCAACAUGAGUAUCUAGACAUAGUUCUCAAUGCUACUCAGCAGGAUCUCCUUGUAAAUCUAUUCUAAGUUGUGUCUGAUAAGCCCAAGCUCCCGAUCCCUCCCACUCCCUCCCUUUCCCAUCAGGCAGCCACAAGUCUGUUUUCCAAGUCCAUGAUUUUCUUUUCUGUGGAGAUACUAUCAAAAUAAUGAUGCAAUGAAUUUUUUAGAAUCAUUUUGAAUUUUCAGCUUCUAUAGGAAGAGAUGUCUUUACUUUCAAAAUGUAAGCUUUUUAUUUCCAAAGUUUGUGAGGGGUUUUGUGGGAGGGGGCCUCAAAUAAUCAUCCAGAAGCUUAAUUUCAUAUCUUAUUUCUCCUUGCGUUUCCAUCCCCAAUCCCUCACACCUAUUUUGGCUCAUAUUUUUUAUAUAUAACUUCUGAGAAAAACUUUAAUUAUAGUUUCUAUUCCAAAGCCAGUUUUCAGUUUCAGCUUCUAAGUCUUAUUUUGAUGCUCACCUUUACCAGGCUUGCUACAUAAUAAAAAUUUUACAUUAAAAGUACAGGUCUGGAGUUCCCAUUGUGGCUUAGUGGAAACAAAACUGACUAGCAUCCAUGAGGAUGCAGGUUCAAUCCCUGGCCGUGCUCAGUGGGUAAAGGAUCCGGCAUUGUCUUGAAAUGCAGUGUGGGUCUGAUCUCACUUGUUGUGGCUGUGGUGUAGGCCAGCGGCUACAGCGCCAAUUCAACCCUUAACCUGGGAUCUACCGCAUUCCAUGGGGGCAUACCUAAAAACUAACUAAAUAAAUAAAUACAUAAAAGUAUAGGUCAACAAGCACUAAAUACUUUAAAAGUACUUUAAAACAGAUGACUAAUUCCUGUCACAUAGUUGCAGGCAAGUUUCUUAACUCGUCCUCUCCUGCUUUCUAAAGAUAUCCCCCACUCUGUGGCCCACUGCUCUAUAUCCACAUCAUUUGCUAUGCUGAAAAGGUUUAACAUAAACACAGAGUUAAAUUUAAAAUAAUUACUUUAGGGAGUGGAUGCUUCUUGAGUACAGGUAAUGUUCUAUUUCUUAAUCUAGGUUCCAGUUACUUGAGUGUGUUUUGUAGACUUUGUAAAAAUUCAUCCAGCUGUAUGCUUAUGAUUUAUCUACUUUUCUUGGAUACAAGAUUUACUUAAAAAAUAAUGAUUUAAAAAAAGUCACUUUUUAUAUUCAAUGACAUCAUGACCCAUUUUUCCAUUGAGGUGUUCAUCAUUUUCAAACUGAUCUACAAGAGCUCUUCAGUAACUCAGGCCAAAAUCCUCAGCUGCUCUUUUUCUCAUACCUCUGUCCAAUCUGUAAGAAAAUACUACAAGCUGAACUUUCAAAAUAGAUCCUUAGUCCUUCCACUUCUCCCCACUCCACCGCUAAAACCAUCUUUCAUGUAGAUUAUUACAAUGGUCAUUGUAAAUGGUCUUCCUGGUCCCACACUAUCCCCCACCACAUUCCGUCUAUAUAACACACAGCAGCUAGACAAAUCCCGCCAAACCAAAGAUGAAUUUUAUCACACUCCUGCUCCCAACCCUCCAGUAGCUU